GGUUUUUAGAUUUAAUUAAAAAUCAAUCCUGCUCAGUGUAAUUAUAAAUAGCCGCGGUAUUAUGACCGUGCAAAGGUAGCAUAAUAAUUAGUCCUUUAAUUGAGGACUGGAAUGAACGGUUUGACUGAAUAUUUCUGUCUCAUAUUUAUAAUUUGAAUUUUAUUUUUUGGUAAAAAAGCUAAAAUUAACUUAAGGGACGAGAAGACCCUGUCAAGUUUUACAAAUUAUUCCUUAUUUUCAAAUUAAGAAAAAAAUUGUUUUACUGGGGCAGUAGAUAAAAACUUUUUAUCUAAAUAUUGUGGGUUUACCCCUAGAAAAAUCAAUAAAUUAUUAAAAAAUAAUAAAUUACUGUAGGGAUAACAGCAUAAUUUUUUUUAAGAGUUCUUAUCAUCAAAAAAGUUUGUGACCUCGAUGUUGGAUCAAAAUACCUAAUUUUCGCAGCAGUUUAAAAAGGAAGUCUGUUCGACUUUUAAAAUUUUCCG
This 482-nucleotide ribosomal RNA is filed under the name Cercophonius sulcatus. RNAcentral describes it as "partial 16S ribosomal RNA". It matches the Rfam family "Archaeal large subunit ribosomal RNA", at positions 1908 to 2669 of the family's 2987-position model. The record is from RNAcentral. Lineage: Eukaryota; Metazoa; Arthropoda; Arachnida; Scorpiones; Bothriuridae.